RNAcentral lists this ribosomal RNA (465 nucleotides) under Vreelandella stevensii. RNAcentral's name for it is "partial 16S ribosomal RNA". It matches the Rfam family "Bacterial small subunit ribosomal RNA", at positions 338 to 795 of the family's 1533-position model. The record is from RNAcentral. Lineage: Bacteria; Pseudomonadati; Pseudomonadota; Gammaproteobacteria; Oceanospirillales; Halomonadaceae.
CCUACGGGGGGCUGCAGUGGGGAAUAUUGGACAAUGGGGGGAACCCUGAUCCAGCCAUGCCGCGUGUGUGAAGAAGGCCCUCGGGUUGUAAAGCACUUUCAGUGAGGAAGAACGCCUGGUGGUUAAUACCCAUCAGGAAAGACAUCACUCACAGAAGAAGCACCGGCUAACUCCGUGCCAGCAGCCGCGGUAAUACGGAGGGUGCGAGCGUUAAUCGGAAUUACUGGGCGUAAAGCGCGCGUAGGUGGCUUGAUAAGCCGGUUGUGAAAGCCCCGGGCUCAACCUGGGAACGGCAUCCGGAACUGUCAAGCUAGAGUGCAGGAGAGGAAGGUAGAAUUCCCGGUGUAGCGGUGAAAUGCGUAGAGAUCGGGAGGAAUACCAGUGGCGAAGGCGGCCUUCUGGACUGACACUGCCACUGAGGUGCGAAAGCGUGGGUAGCAAACAGGAUUAGAUACCCCAGUAGUC